CUUCAGUUUGCUUUUCGUUUGUUCAAUUGUCUCUUGAUACGUGAGAUCCCAUUUCAUCUUGUUACGCGUUUGUGGGAUACAUACCUUGCUGAAGGGGAUGCAUUACCAGAGUUUCUCGUGUACAUAUCUGCCAGUUUUCUGUUAACAGAUUAUUCAAGCACCAUUUUCUGUAUUAUCUUGCAAGAGAGAGCUGUGUUGAAGUUUGUAAAUUGAUAAAUAGGUUUGUCUCUGGAGGUGAUGCUAAUGAUGAUUGUGGGUUUGUUUAUGAUUUGUUAGAUGGCUUGAGCUUGAAUAUGAAGAC
Asparagus officinalis (garden asparagus) is the source of this 301-nucleotide long non-coding RNA. RefSeq lists it as uncharacterized. NCBI's taxonomy places the organism in Eukaryota, Viridiplantae, Streptophyta, Magnoliopsida, Asparagales, Asparagaceae. The transcript has 3 exons. The record is from RefSeq and is a predicted model, not a curated record.